CCCUUAGAUGUUCGGGGCCGCACGCGCGCUACAAUGAUGAAUUCAACGAGUUUAUAACCUUGGUUGAAAAGCCUGGGUAAUCUUUUGAACUUUCGUCGUGAUGGGGCUAGACCCUUGCAAUUAUUGGUCUCCAACGAGGAAUUCCUAGUAAACGCAAGUCAUCAGCUUGCAUUGAUUACGUCCCUGCCCUUUGUACACACCGCCCGUCGCACCUACCGAUUGAAUGGUCCGGUGAAAUCUUCGGAUUGAGACUUUGAUUUCUUCACGGAAAACGCUGUUUUAAAAAGUUGAUUAAACCUUACCAUUUAGAGGAAGGUGAAGUCGUAACA
RNAcentral lists this ribosomal RNA (329 nucleotides) under uncultured eukaryote. Its description in RNAcentral is "partial 18S ribosomal RNA". It matches the Rfam family "Eukaryotic small subunit ribosomal RNA", at positions 1470 to 1796 of the family's 1831-position model. The record is from RNAcentral.